CCUACGGGAGGCAGCAGUGAGGAAUAUUGGUCAAUGGGCGGAAGCCUGAACCAGCCAAGUAGCGUGCAGGAUGACGGCCCUACGGGUUGUAAACUGCUUUUAUACGGGAAUAACGCGCCUUACGUGUAGGUCUUUGCAUGUACCGUAUGAAUAAGGACCGGCUAAUUCCGUGCCAGCAGCCGCGGUAAUACGGAAGGUCCGGGCGUUAUCCGGAUUUAUUUGGUUUAAAGGGAGCGUAGGCCGCAUGUCAAGCGUGAUGUGAAAUGUCCGGGCUCAACCCGGGCCGGUCAGGGCGAACUGGCGUGCUUGAGUCCGCGGAAAGCAGGCGGAAUUCGUCGUGUAGCGGUGAAAUGCUUAGAUAUGACGAAGAACCCCGAUUGCGAAGGCAGCUUGCUGCAGCGGAACUGACGCUGAUGCUCGAAAGCGCGGGUAUCGAACAGGAUUAGAUACCCCUGUAGUC
RNAcentral lists this ribosomal RNA (460 nucleotides) under uncultured bacterium. RNAcentral's name for it is "partial 16S ribosomal RNA". It matches the Rfam family "Bacterial small subunit ribosomal RNA", at positions 338 to 795 of the family's 1533-position model. The record is from RNAcentral.